This is a long non-coding RNA of Thunnus maccoyii (southern bluefin tuna), 539 nucleotides long. RefSeq lists it as uncharacterized. Lineage: Eukaryota; Metazoa; Chordata; Actinopteri; Scombriformes; Scombridae. The transcript is spliced from 2 exons. The record is from RefSeq and is a predicted model, not a curated record.
AACAUGUUCACCACUCACUGUGGAAAGACGAACUUGCAGGGACUGACAAAAGCCAAAACCUUGGACUGUGACCCGUGUUAUGUCUGCGUCUUAAUGGGGAGUAUUUAUAUCACAGUAAAGGUGGACUCUUGAUCAACGCAGGGACACCACUCCACCUUCUUGCCCACAUGCAAUCACUGUUCCCCUCAAGACAGCAGGAUGUAAUUACUAGUUGGACCCCUUUCUUGUUCGUGUCAGUGUAUUUGAUGGAAAAUGCUUACUAUGUCCACAUGCAGCACCCAAGGGAGGGUAAUGGAUGUGGUUUCUUCGCCCAUUCGGAUGUUUUGUUCGACUGCAUGCGUGUCGACCUGACGAAGCCUAAACUCUAAGACGCUGUGGGUGAAGCUGUCAGGAUGAAGACCACAUAUUUAAAAAUGUUUUCAAAAAAGAAAGAGAUAGGGAUAGAGGAGAGCUUUUGUUUUCAGGGGCAUGCUAAGCUAUGUAUGAUGGGUCUUUGGAGCAUAAAAUUAAAUGUCACAAUAAAUUUUCCAAUAACAUCA